This 253-nucleotide ribosomal RNA is filed under the name uncultured bacterium. Its description in RNAcentral is "partial 16S ribosomal RNA". It matches the Rfam family "Bacterial small subunit ribosomal RNA", at positions 524 to 776 of the family's 1533-position model. The record is from RNAcentral.
GACAGAGGGUGCAAACGUUGUUCGGAUUUACUGGGCGUAAAGCGCGUGUAGGCGGCUUUGCAAGUCGGAUGUGAAAUCCCACGGCUCAACCGUGGAAGUGCAUCCGAAACUGCAUCGCUGGAGUCUCGGAGAGGAAGGUGGAAUGCUUGGUGUAGAGGUGAAAUUCGUAGAUAUCAAGCGGAACACCUGCGGCGAAGGCGGCCUUCUGGACGAUGACUGACGCUGAGACGCGAAAGCGUGGGGAGCAAACAGG